GUUCCUGUAGCCUCGUGGCUAAGGUACAUAACUGUGACUCCUGAGGUUGGUGGUUCAAAACUCAGUCUAGCAACA
Albula glossodonta (roundjaw bonefish) is the source of this 75-nucleotide non-coding RNA. The record is from the annotation of a GenBank genome assembly. NCBI's taxonomy places the organism in Eukaryota, Metazoa, Chordata, Actinopteri, Albuliformes, Albulidae.